UACGUAGGUGGCAAGCGUUGUCCGGAUUUACUGGGCGUAAAGAGCGCGCAGGCGGUCGCUCAAGUCGCGUGUGAAAGCCCCCGGCUCAACUGGGGAGGGUCACGCGAUACUGAUCGACUCGAAGGCAGGAGAGGGUAGUGGAAUUCCCGGUGUAGUGGUGAAAUGCGUAGAUAUCGGGAGGAACACCAAUGGCGAAGGCAGCUCGCUGGGACGUUACUGACGCUGAGACGCGAAAGCGUGGGGAGCAAACAGG
Molecule: ribosomal RNA, 253 nt
Filed under: uncultured bacterium
Lineage: Bacteria
Description: partial 16S ribosomal RNA
Rfam family: Bacterial small subunit ribosomal RNA
Source: RNAcentral